This is a long non-coding RNA of Dermochelys coriacea (leatherback sea turtle), 215 nucleotides long. RefSeq lists it as uncharacterized. The transcript is spliced from 3 exons. NCBI's taxonomy places the organism in Eukaryota, Metazoa, Chordata, Testudines, Dermochelyidae. The record is from RefSeq and is a predicted model, not a curated record.
GAAAGUUCUUAAUUGGCUCCAGGUGUCUUGAUUAGCUUGCCUGUCUUAAUUGGUUCUAGCAGGUUCCUGAUUGCUCUAGGGCAGCCCCUGCUCUGGUCACCCAGGGAACAGACAACUGUUUAUCCAGUGGACAGUAUAUUUGCCUUCUACCAGACUCCUGUACCCCACUGGUCUGGGUCUCAAUAGGUCCAGACUGCUGUUUCAACCUUCAGGAG